AGAUUGAACGCUGGCGGCAUGCUUUACACAUGCAAGUCGAACGGCAGCACGGGGGCAACCCUGGUGGCGAGUGGCGAACGGGUGAGUAAUGCAUCGGAACGUAUCCUUGAGUGGGGGAUAACGCAGCGAAAGUUGUGCUAAUACCGCAUAAGCUCUGAGGAGGAAAGCGGGGGGACCGAAAGGCCUCGCGCUGAAGGAGCGGCCGAUGUCCGAUUAGCUGGUUGUGGGAGGACGCUACGAGCGAUGUGGNCGUGUNAGAGGAGUGAUCAGACACCACUCGGGGACUGAGACACGGGCCCAGGACUCCUACGGGAGGCAGC
This 320-nucleotide ribosomal RNA is filed under the name uncultured prokaryote. RNAcentral's name for it is "bacterial SSU rRNA". It matches the Rfam family "Bacterial small subunit ribosomal RNA", at positions 26 to 352 of the family's 1533-position model. The record is from RNAcentral.